CAGUAGCCGCGGGAAUACGAAGGGUGCAAGCGUUAAUCGGAAUUACUGGGCGUAAAGCGUGCGUAGGCGGUUUGUUAAGUCUGUUGUGAAAUCCCCGGGCUUAACCUGGGAAUGGCAAUGGAUACUGGCAAGCUAGAGUGUGUCAGAGGAUGGUGGAAUUCCCGGUGUAGCGGUGAAAUGCGUAGAGAUCGGGAGGAACAUCAGUGGCGAAGGCGGCCAUCUGGGACAACACUGACGCUGAGGCACGAAAGCGUGGGGAGCAAACAGGAUUAGAUACCCGUGUAGUCCCUGUCUCUUAUAC
Molecule: ribosomal RNA, 301 nt
Filed under: uncultured bacterium
Lineage: Bacteria
Description: partial 16S ribosomal RNA
Rfam family: Bacterial small subunit ribosomal RNA
Source: RNAcentral